This 439-nucleotide ribosomal RNA is filed under the name uncultured archaeon. Its description in RNAcentral is "bacterial SSU rRNA". It matches the Rfam family "Archaeal small subunit ribosomal RNA", at positions 19 to 463 of the family's 1478-position model. The record is from RNAcentral.
GGACCUGACUGCUAUCGGAUUGAUACUAAGCCAUGCGAGUCAUUGUAGCAAUACAAGGCAUACGGCUCAGUAACGCGUAGUCAACCUAACCUAUGGACGGGAAUAACCUCGGGAAACUGAGAAUAAUGCCCGAUAGAACAUUAUGCCUGGAAUGGUUUAUGUUCCAAAUGAUUUAUCGCCGUAGGAUGGGACUGCGGCCUAUCAGUUUGUUGGUGAGGUAAUGGCCCACCAAGACUAUUACAGGUACGGGCUCUGAGAGGAGUAGCCCGGAGAUGGGUACUGAGACACGGACCCAGGCCCUAUGGGGCGCAGCAGGCGAGAAAACUUUGCAAUGUGCGAAAGCACGACAAGGUUAAUCCGAGUGGUUUCUGCUAAAGGAACCUUUUGUCAGUCCUAGAAACACUGAUGAAUAAGGGGUGGGCAAGUUCUGGUGUCAGCC